Molecule: ribosomal RNA, 245 nt
Filed under: uncultured bacterium
Lineage: Bacteria
Description: partial 16S ribosomal RNA
Rfam family: Bacterial small subunit ribosomal RNA
Source: RNAcentral
UACGGAGGUGGCAAGCGUUACUCGGAUUCACUGGGUGUAAAGGGCAGGUAGGCUAUCUGAUAAGUUGGGUGUGAAAUCUCCAGGCUCAACCUGGAAACGGCAUUCAAAACUAUCAGAAUCGAGUUCGAUCGAGGAGAGUAGAACUCUUGGUGUAAGGGUGAAAUCUGUAGAUAUCAAGAGGAAUACCAAUGGCGAAGGCAUCUCUCUAGUUCGAUACUGACGCUAAGCUGCGAAAGCUAGGGGAG